RNAcentral lists this microRNA precursor (166 nucleotides) under Arabidopsis lyrata. RNAcentral's name for it is "miR4226 stem-loop (aly-MIR4226)". Lineage: Eukaryota; Viridiplantae; Streptophyta; Magnoliopsida; Brassicales; Brassicaceae. The record is from miRBase by way of RNAcentral.
AAGCAAUGAAUAGUACAUUGUACAAGAUGCAUUCGAGCAAUAAAUGAGUUUGCAUGCCCUCGUGGCUUUGUUCUUCCAACCAUUUUUGUUUGUCAUCAUCUGAUACCCUCACCCAAACUCAUUUAUUGCUCGCAUUCGUUUGUACAAUGUACAAACUCAAUUGAGA